Molecule: ribosomal RNA, 822 nt
Filed under: uncultured bacterium
Lineage: Bacteria
Description: bacterial SSU rRNA
Rfam family: Bacterial small subunit ribosomal RNA
Source: RNAcentral
UNUGACUUGAGUGCAGAAGGGGAGAGUGGAAUUCCAUGUGUAGCGGUGAAAUGCGUAGAUAUAUGGAGGANCACCAGUGGCGAAAGCGGCUCUCUGNUCUGUCACUGACGCUGAGGCUCGAAAGCGUGGGUAGCGAACAGGAUUAGAUACCCUGGUAGUCCACGCCGUAAACGAUGAGUGCUAGGUGUUAGGCCCUUUCCGGGGCUUAGUGCCGGAGCUAACGCAAUAAGCACUCCGCCUGGGGAGUACGACCGCAAGGUUGAAACUCAAAGGAAUUGACGGGGGCCCGCACAAGCGGUGGAGCAUGUGGUUUAAUUCGAAGCAACGCGAAGAACCUUACCAGGUCUUGACAUCCCGAUGCUAUUCUUAGAGAUAGGAAGUUACUUCGGUACAUCGGAGACAGGUGGUGCAUGGUUGUCGUCAGCUCGUGUCGUGAGAUGUUGGGUUAAGUCCCGCAACGAGCGCAACCCUUAUUGUUAGUUGCCAUCAUUAAGUUGGGCACUCUAGCGAGACUGCCGGUAAUAAACCGGAGGAAGGUGGGGAUGACGUCAAAUCAUCAUGCCCCUUAUGACCUGGGCUACACACGUGCUACAAUGGUCGGUACAACGAGUUGCGAGCCGGUGACGGCAAGCUAAUCUCUGAAAGCCGAUCUCAGUUCGGAUUGGAGGCUGCAACUCGCCUCCAUGAAGUCGGAAUCGCUAGUAAUCGCGGAUCAGCACGCCGCGGUGAAUACGUUCCCGGGCCUUGUACACACCGCCCGUCACACCACGAGAGUUUGUAACACCCGAAGUCGGUGAGGUAACCUUUUAGGGGCCAGCCGCC